UAUGUAUAUCUGUGGUCGGCACGUCUGGUAGCAUCUCUGGCUGCUGUUGAUCUUGUUUUUGGAGUAAAACACAGUGGAAGCUGAAUUAGUGAGGAUGACUCCUGCUCCUGUCAUCUCUAAGCUCCUCACACAUCUUUACCUGCACAUGAGGAAAAUCACUCCUGUAGAAUGCAGAUGUUCAGAGGGAGAUGAUGCCACAUCUGGUCCAGCUGAUGGAAGGUCUUGAAGUUCUCUGACUGGCCUCGACUGAAGAUGGUCGUCUCACUGGAUUUAAGGUUCAGAUGCUCAGUAACAAACUCCACCAAUGUGCCAACAGGGAAGCUUUAGGUUUAUUAAAUGUUGCUAUGAAGGUUUCGCUGUUUUUCUUUGUGAAUGCAAUGUGCUCCAACUGAAACUUGAAUUAGAACUUAAAAGUAAAUCCUUCCAUCUGAAAGGAUUUAGUUGCAUUAAUAACCUCAUAACAUUCUAAUUUUUAUUCCAGUCUUGGUUGGAAAUAGAAUCUCUGUAUUGAUUCAGGUAAAAACUGAACUUCACAGCAUGUUGAAGCAAAACAACCAGAUGAAAACUGUGAUGGUGUUGGAUUGUCAGACCGUAAUGUUGCAGCUCAAAGCAGCUUUUCUAUCUCAGUUCAUUCUGACAUUCAGCUAUGAAUCAACACAGCAGAUGGUGAUCCAUGCUGUGGAAGUCUCACAUCUCCUGAUUUAAUGGAGCUGCUUUGCACUUUUUACACUGUUUAUUCACCAACACUUUAUUUAAUAAAAGUCCCAUCUAGUUUUUAUGAGGAAUGUGAUGUUUUAAUUUCUCUGUGAAUAACUGCAGUCUAAUGCAACAGCUGGAGUUGUAACAUCUGUCCUGAUAUUGAUCAUGAAGUAUUGAUCAGAAUACUUAUGGUUAGCAGUCAUCCCUGAAGUUUUACAUUAAAAUCUUUACUUGUGUUGUGAACUUUGGUAAGAAACAGAAACGUUAGCGUUGCCAUGGAUAUAUGAGUGUUAAAUUCUGCCCAUGUUUCCAUUUUGGGAAAUGCAGUCCAGUUCCAGAAUGUGGAGGAAUUUAGUCUCACAAUCGCAGACAACAAAUAUUAUCUGAAAGUCGGGUUAUUGUUGUUUAUCAGCACAAUACAAAAAGAUUAAUGUUAGAAAUAUUCCAGUUAAGACUCUAGAAUAUCAUCCAUCCAUCCAUCCAUCCAUUAUCUAUACACCGCUUAAUCCUCACUAGGGUUGCGGGGGGGCUGGAGCCUAUCCCAGCUGACUCGGGCGAAGGCAGGGGACACCCUGGACAGGUCGCCAGUCUGUCGCAGGGCCACAUACAAAGACAAACAAGCACUCUCACAUUCACACCUACGGUGUGAUUUAGAAUAAUCAAUUAACCUCAGCAUAUUUUUGGACUGUGGGAGGAAGCCGGAGUACCCGGAGAGAACCCACGCAUGCACAGGGAGAACAUGCAAACUCCAUGCAGAAAGAUCCCGGGAAAGCCGGGACGCGAACCAGGGACCUUCUUGUUGCAAGGCGAAAGUGCUAACCACUACGCCACUGUGCAGCCCUCUAGAAUAUCAUGAUUUAUGUAAAUUUACCUCAAUAAUAUGAAUGUUCAGGUUAAGAUUGUACAGUGAUAUUUAUAAUGUAAGUUUAGCUGCUUAAAGUUUAUGACUCUGCACUAAAAUAUUAUUUAAAUUGACAUCAUUAUUAUAAUAUUUAGGGUCAGACCCUACAGUAUUGAGAUUAAGAAAUCAAAUAUUCUAUAAAAUGUAAAUACACUGAACUCAUUUGGAUAUAUUUAAGUGAGACUCUACAAUAUUAUUUGACACAAAUCUAUCUAAAUCAAAAUUUUAAUAAUUUUCACACCAAACAUUUACUGGACUGAUUUAAAUAUUAAAAUCACUCCUUUCUAAUCCUCUGCUGUACGUUCAAACCUGAGGCCUUAAAUAGAAACACACAAGUAUCUGAUUGAAGGAACUUCUGCAGAGUCCUGGUUCUACAACAUGAUGAUAGAAUUAUAGACAAACUUUAACAAAAGCUGCCUGAGAGUUUACAGGUUUUUAUGUUAGAUUUCUUCAGUAAUUUAAUGAGAGUUAUCAGCAAAAAUCAAGUGUUCAUUUGAUGAACUUGAUUUCCUAAAACAUCCAGAAUUGAAGCUCAUAUCUUUGGCAGCUGUAAAGUUUCUGCUCCUUCAAAGUUCACAACACAAUGAAUGAAUUCCUAAAACACUCUCAAUGCUGGAGAGCGUUUGUGAUGCUGAAGCAGUGAUCAGUUUUUCUGUUUCUUCUCUGGAGAUGCACAAUGAGGGACGUCUGCAGAGACUGAGAAAGAGUCUCACCACAUCCUGACAUGAGGAAAAAGACUUUAUUGAAGACUACAAUGAGAAAAACUAUCAGACAGCAGACGGCUGCAUUCAAGUCUGUAGCUGCUGAAUUCAUGGAUGAAUCAUCUGGCACUAGAGAAGAAGACCAUCAAACAUCCACAUCAGCUGAUGGAGGUCCAAGAGUCUCACCAAACAAACAACCUACAGAGUGAAGACCUCCAAUCUGAUUGGACGGCCUCCUAUUCAGCCACAUUUUAGGCUGUUAGAUUGUUCCAGAUAAGACAAGUACAAGAUUCUUCAGAGCCGUUCUACCACGAGCCUGACAGGAAGAACUCCAACAGCUACUGAAUGUUCCUGUGGUCCCCUCAAGGCUACAGGAGGAGCCCUACGAGGACGAGCCGGUCCACCUGAUGGAGGCCAGUCGCUGCGGUUCAAAGGCAACACCGACUACGUGGACUUCUACUGGACCACACGGAGGCCUUCAAACCGGACCAACAAGUUCAGCGACUCCCCGACUCGUGGGUCUGAGGACGCUGCCGAGCCUCGGUCCAGCCGGCCUCCUGUCUGUGGGUGUUUGAGUGCUGAGAGGUUUGUGGAUGCAUGUGAACGUGUCUGUGUUGAAACAGCAGCUUUGGACUCACUAACGCUGGGAAAAACCAAGAGCUCCUUUAUUUGUGACUUCCACUAAAAAACUGAUGAAAAUAAGUUUGCCAGGGUUCUGACUGAUAACAGAUUAUUAAAUAAUGAAAAUAAUUGUUUAAAUAUUCCUUUAAACAAUCCUUUUAUGUCUACAUUUCCUUUACACUGACUUCUUGGUAUAUGUACAAGUAUUUUGGGUGGAAUAUACCAAUAAGCCUGAUGUUCAAAGGUUCUUCUGGGAAUAUACCAUUAAACCAACCUUUUAGGUAAAUGUUCCAGGAUGUUGAGUAGAAUAUACCAUCAGAUCAACCUUUUAGGUCUACAUUGGAAGAUUUUAGAGUAGAAUAUUAUUCCAAACCAUCCUUUAGGUCUACAUUUAAGGUGGAAUACUCCUUUACACCAAGAUUUUUUUGGUCUACAUUGAAGGAUUUUAGGUGGAAUAUUCCUUUGAAUGAACUUUUUAAGUUUAUGUUAAAGGAUGUUGGGUGGAAUAUACCAUCAGACCAACCUCCGAGGUCUACAGUAGUGAAUUUUAGGUGGACUAUGCCAUUAAACUCACCUUUUAGGUCUACAUUGGAGGAUUUUAGGUGGAAUUUUCUUCCAAACCGUCUUUUAAUCUACAUUUAAGGAUGUUUAGGAUGGUAUAUUCUUCCGAACCAACUUCUCAGGUCUACAUUUCAGGUGGAAUAUUCCUCCAUUCUAACUUUUUUGGUCUACAUUGAAGGAUUUUUUCUAAACCACCCUUUCGGGUCUAUAUUUGAGGUUUUAGGUGGAAUAUUCCUUUUAACCAGCCCCUCAGGUCUCUUUGAGGAUUUUGGAUGGAAUACUCUGUUAAACCAACAUUUUAGGUGCAUGUCCGAGGAUUUUUGGUGGAAUGUUCCUUUAAGGUGGAUGUUUGAGGACCUUGUAGGUGGAAUACUUCCUGAAACCAAACUUUUAGGUCAACAUUCAAAGAUUUAAGGUGGAAGAUCAUUAUCAAGUGAGAAACCUCAAUCCAGACUCCUCAUAAUGACGUUUGAGAUUUAUGCUGCUGUUACUUGUUUAGUCCAGACUAAAUGACAGAAAUCCACAACUGUAAUUUUAUUUCAGGACUCGGUUAUUAAAUGUCAAAACAAUCCAUGUGACUCUAAAAACUCAACAGCUGUACAAACUCUAAGAUUAAACUCUCCACAAGGAUCCAAAAUAAGUUGGACUUCUACAUGAGAGCUUGAAUUAUUCUUCAUCUACUUCCUGAAAAGUUUGGUCAAUAAAAAAGAUGAAAACUAAUAUUUUCAGCUGAACUAAAGGCAGACUUUGUGAUUUUUCUACUCACAUGUUGUGUUGUUGUAAACUUACUCUUUCAAAUAAAUAGCUGCCUAACCCCCUGGAAACCAGCGUUUGUCCUGUUUUUGUGUUGCUCCUCGGCGACCCUAGACAGCCGGGUCAUAAUGUUUUUUGAGCAACACACCAUACUAUGACAUUUUUAUAAUGAUGGUUCUACUAUGGAACCAGUUUGACAUGUUCAGGUGUUCUUUGUGUGAAAACAGAUUUCAGGUAUCAGAAGAUGGUUUUCAACUUUCUUUGUUAACUUUCUGCCUCAACUUUAAACUAAAUUUCCUUCACUAACCCAGCCCUCUGGACUUCCAGUAAGCUGUGUUCCUAUUGGCUGUCCAGGUGGCUGCUUGGUGUUAUCAGGAACACCUGAGCAGCUCAGUGCCUUCCUGCUGUAUGUGGCUGCAGACAAACAUUUCCUCUGCUUCUCUUCACCAUUGAACCGGGUUUGGCUCUAUUGCUUUAGUUUGUUCUUUAGGCGUUGGCUUGCAGCUUCCAGCAGUAAAAUAGGCUUUAAUGUGUUUCUUGGUGUGUUUUAGGGCUUUGUACUGGAUAGUUGUCUUGGUAAAUGUGGUUCUUUAGCCACAGUUAGCACAUGGUGCUAAUGUGUGCAGUGAUUAGUGGAUUUGGUGCAGCUGAGUUGUGUCUUUGUCUUGGCUGUAGUGAGUCUUUAGAGGUUUUUGGUCAGACACAUUCUGAAUUCUUGUUUGUGAACCAUCGUUGGUUGUCCAGAAGGUAAGAGUUCCUGUCCUGAUUCUCUGUUCUCAGAGGUUCUCUGGUAGGCUGCAGGAGACUUUAGCGUUUGGGUUUUGCUAGUUUGGUUUUUUUACGGUUUCAUUUGGACGACUAUCUUGAGGCCCCUCCAUGUGGUUUAGUGAGGUUUUCUGCAACAGUUCUACAAAGCAACCUGCAGCAGAAGAGACUUUGAGAGUUUUUAGGAAGUUCUGGAGAUCAGACUUUAGAGCAGCAGAAACAUUUGUCAGCAGUUUGAGCAGGAGAAGGUGAUCUUCAGAGUAGAAAUGAGAUGGAAACCUUCUUGACCCGUGUGGUGAGGUCCUGUAUCAAGAGUUUGAGCAGGUUGUGAAGAGUCUGUAGUUCUUUGGUCUGAAAGCACAAGAAGAGUCGACUCAUUAAAGGAGAAAACGGGAGAUAUUGUUGGUUCUUCUGUCGCUCUGCAGUUUCCUUAGACUGAAUAUCAAGUUUAUAUUUUAAAUGAUUUCCCAUGUGAGCCCAAGAAGACUUCAAUAAACUCCCUCCAUCCCCUGGACACAACAGAUUUUAUUACCAUGUUAAAUCUUUUUUUUGAAAUGUUUUUGAGUUUUAAUCACAAUUUUAGCAUAGUUUUUUCUCUUUGCUUGUUUAGUUUUGUCAUCUGUGUAAAAGGUGCAAAACAAAUAAAGUUGAAUUGAUAAACUGA
Amphiprion ocellaris (clown anemonefish) is the source of this 5665-nucleotide long non-coding RNA. RefSeq lists it as uncharacterized. The record is from RefSeq and is a predicted model, not a curated record. The transcript is spliced from 5 exons. Lineage: Eukaryota; Metazoa; Chordata; Actinopteri; Pomacentridae.